UGCUUGAUCAAGUGCCGGCCGACCUGGCCAGAAGAUAUUGAUGGGAAAUGUCAGGUCAGCGCAGAGAAUCUAACCUCUGGCCGGUGGCGGGAAUGAGAGCACCUGUUGUCCGCGGGAUGGUCGCAGGCGGGCACAUAAUGCCGCCGGUGGAGAUGAGUGGCACCUCCGGCAAACAGCGGCAUCUGCCGCGACUGCUAGUGGCACCUAGCUGCAGCAUCUGGGGGUGCCACCAGAGAUGCCACAGCUGGGUGCCCCUGCCACAAACUGAGCUUGCUGUCUCUCUACAGAUGGCGCAACCUUUUGGGAGGCUCGUUUUUGUUCCCCGCGCCUCCUCCUACAUAGGUGGAUGGCAUUACAUUUCCUUACAAAAACAUCAUAAAAGUUAUUAAUGAUAUCAAAUUCUCUGGAGCACCCUGUUCACUGACAGUGGUACUCAGGAGGAGGAAGAGGAGGAGGAGGAGGAGCACGCCAAACCUACCUUCAACAAGCAUGGAAUCCUCAGCUCUGCAAAGAGAUAGAGAAAAUGUCAGUGGCCUCAGUAUGACGAAGAUAUUGGAAUCUCUACAAGAGAAAAGGCAAGAGAAAACAGUACAUGACAUCUCGAAUUUAUAUUUCUGAAGGUGUGGUUUUAUGCUGUGUGGUUUUAUGCUGCUUUGACUAUUUGCCAUUUUGCUGUUGGUUAAGCAGAGGGAGAUUGUCAAAAGUUUAAAAUGUAGUGUUGUGUAAUUUUGGCUCGCGUGACCAUUCAGGAGAGAUGAAGAAGACUCAGAGACAACAAUGACUUACGUUGAGAUAGUUAGAGAUAGAGAUAGAACAUGACCAUGCAGGAGUAAAAUCACCUCACGUCUGACUGCACAGACUGUUGCCAUGAUAAUCCUAAUGAGUGUUCCCAAAUGCCCAAAUUAUAUCUUACAACUUACAGAAGCAGUGCUUCCAUACAUGCUCAUCUCAACAACGCAGAGUCUGUCUCCUCCAGCCAGAGGACUAAGAUGUAAAAUAGGUCAGAGACACUUCAGUUGUCUUCAAGGUCAAAAAUUACCCAAAAAUGUGUUUAACAGCAGAUAAAAUGCCACCAUUAGAAAAUUCAUUUUUCCAAGGAAGAUGUACACCACUUUGUUGUGUGUUAGUGGCUGAGUGUAUGUGUGUGUGGGUGUGUGUGUGUGUGUGUGUGUGUGUGUGUGUGUGUGUGUGUGUGUGUGUGUGUGUAAUAAAUAUACACAAAAAGGACACACCUAAUGCAGCACAGCUUGAUGCAGUACACAGGGACAAUGUAUUUGCAUUGUCCAUGGACGGCAUCUGACUUGAGAGAUGUUAUGGAGGGAAUUCUGAAUCCCAUCUGUUUGGAGCCGAGAUAUUGGAAUUGAUCCAACAACAUUGUUCUACUACAGCAGAAAUCAAGAGACUUAUGGUCACAAAGAUUCAGUUGAAAUGGGCUGCUGUACAGGGAGACUGGCCUGAAGAAGAUAUGCCAUACAACUGGGCAUAUCUGGAUAUCUGGACUGGACUGGACUGAACACAGAGAGGCAGUAACAGACUUGAUCGAAAGAAUUCUACAAAAAGAAAUCUUGAGAAUUCACAGUGGUUUAACACCACCAGUUGAUCCAACUGAAUGACAUCCCCAUGAACAGCCCCAUGGCACAUGCUCGACAUGCAGAGAAAGUGGUGGCAAGAAAUGAGAGAGAAGAGGGGGCCGUGGAAGGAGGGGCUGCUGACUAGAGGGAGAAACAACUGGGCGUGAAGAAGGGUGAGCAGAAACACACAGAUGCACACACACAAAAGGAUGAGAUACAUACACAUGUAUAUGAUGAUGAUAAUAGCCUAUGAUUAGAAUGUUGAUUGGAGGAAAAGAGAUUUUAGUUUUUUUUAGUGGAUUUUGGAGCAACACAUUCAGUGUUGACAGCAAGUGAUUUGGAUACUCCUAAAUUGAGUGGCAGAACAGUGAGUGAGUGAGUAAGAGAAAAAAUCCAAUUGUGGAUUCGGGCUGUAUGAAGACUUUAAUUCACCUAAGGAUGGUUCGACUGAGGGCUUUAGUGGCUCUUGUCUGGUGCACCCCAUGAUUUUCGGCACGUAUUGGCCUGGGUUUAAUAGGUUAGGAUAUGUGUGAUGUGCGAUGUGAUGUGUGGUAAUGCGAGGUUGUCUGACAAUGCAGACGGGGAGGAGGACGCGGCAGGACUCAGGGAUGUUUUGUCUUAGCAGGUGCUGGGAGCUGAAAGCCCGAUACUUUACAUCAGCUGGAAGCUGUCUGAGAGGGAGACACGCUGCAGCACUAUUUAGAAGGAGUGCUUGGCUCUCCGAUGGGCAGUUGGUGCUCUGUGGUAUUACCUGCUGGUGCAACUGGUUGUCCUCUUUUCAGACCACACUCCCCUCCAGUGGCUUCACCACAUAAAGGUUACCAAUGGCCAUAUCAUCUGGUGGUAUUUGGCUUUGCAACCCUUUAAGGGCAAGAGAGGCUUCUCUCGUUCUGACUGAAAUGAAUAAAAGAACAACUGAAAGCAUGUUUGCAAUACUGUCUAGGUAAAGUUCAGACAUUCUGAGUAAAAAAACAUUUUGGAGCGAAAUGUGACUUAAUCUAUUAUAAAGGGCAAAAAUAGGCUUAACUUGCCCAGAAAAGCUCAAAAUUUCAAGAAAAGAGUUCUGACUGACAUGAAUGAUAGAACUGAAACCAUGUUUGCAAAACCAUAUUUAGGUAACGUUUAUACAUCCUGAAGGAAACUCUCUCAAACACCACACUCUGCCCUGUCACAUCACACCACCUUUUAAUAGCUACAUAGGUAAUUUUUAAUGCAGCUUUCUUUCAAUUUCAGAAACCUUUCCCAGUCAGUAAGUUGUGGACAGUGGAAAGAGACCACUGGUAUGGAAAUAGAAGUAAUGGUAUACACUAUUUGUAAUUUAUAUUUAAAGUAUAAAAAGUAUUCAAAGUACUAUAAAGUCAUCCACUGACCUUUUUCUUACAUCCUAGGGGUUUCCAAGACAGCUGUACGGAAAUGACUGUGACAUCUUCAUGAUGGAUUUUAAUUUAGGUUUAUUUUGGCAAUGUUUACUGAACAUAUUCUUCAUCUGUGUUAUCAGUAUCUAGAACUCUCAGGUGGAUUAGUUCCUUGGUGGCUUGCAUGUGAUUAUUAAACACUGAUUGAUUGUUUUCUUUUGCAGUCAGUUUAGGAAGAGCAGCAACUACAGCCUGUUGCACAGCCUCAGCAAGCCAGUGUGUCCCUGCAAAAGAGGCUAAGACAACAAUGGAAACGGACAAACUUGAGAUCAAGAUUGUGCAUGACUGCGAAAGGGCAGCAGAAUGGGUGGAAACAAACCAGCAUUUGUUCUCAGAUAAUUUGGAGUUGCCCUAUGGGGGCGGAGGAACUGGCAGAGGCUGCACAGCAAUAUGCCAGACUUUGGGUUGAGGAGGAGAGUGUGGACAUGGAUGACCAGAAAAGGGAAGGCAUGUUGGAGCCAUUCAAACUUCUGUUCAAAACUGAAGACAUGUGGACAUUUUGUGAGGAGAUGAGUGAUAAACAAGGUAGUAGCCUAUUCGGCACUACUGUUGUUAAUGUGCUGAAUAAAGGGCAACUGAUUGUU
Molecule: long non-coding RNA, 3570 nt
Organism: Acanthopagrus latus (yellowfin seabream)
Lineage: Eukaryota; Metazoa; Chordata; Actinopteri; Spariformes; Sparidae
Exons: 3
Source: RefSeq, a predicted model, not a curated record